AUUGAACGCUUGCGGCAGGCCUAACACAUGCAAGUCGCACGAGUGGCGGACGGGUGAGUAAUGUCUGGGAAACUGCCUGAUGGAGGGGGAUAACUACUGGAAACGGUAGCUAAUACCGCAUACCAUCAGAUGUGCCCAGAGGGGAUUGGCUUGUUGGGGGGGUAACGGCUCACCAAGGCGACGAUCCCUAGCUGGUCUGGGAGGAUGACCAGCAAAACGGGAACUGAGACACGGUCCAGACUCCUACGGGGGGGAGCAGUGGGGAAUAUUGCACAAUGGGGGAAAGCCUGAUGCAGCCAGGCCGCGUGUAUGAAGAAGGCCUUCGGGUUGUAAAGUACUUUCAGCGGGGAGGCGUUACCCGCAGAAGAAGCACCGGCUAACUCCGUGCCAGCAGCCGCGGUAAUAC
Molecule: ribosomal RNA, 406 nt
Filed under: uncultured bacterium
Lineage: Bacteria
Description: partial 16S ribosomal RNA
Rfam family: Bacterial small subunit ribosomal RNA
Source: RNAcentral